AGGGCGCACGGUGGAUGCCUUGGCACUAGAAGCCGAUGAAGGACGUUACUAACGACGAUAUGCUUUGGGGAGCUGUAAGUAAGCUUUGAUCCAGAGAUUUCCGAAUGGGGAAACCCAGCAUGAGUUAUGUCAUGUUAUCGAUAUGUGAAUACAUAGCAUAUCAGAAGGCACACCCGGAGAACUGAAACAUCUUAGUACCCGGAGGAAGAGAAAGAAAAUUCGAUUCCCUUAGUAGCGGCGAGCGAAACGGGAAGAGCCCAAACCAAAAAGCUUGCUUGUUGGGGUUGUAGGACACUCUAUACGGAGUUACAAAGGACGACAUUAGACGAAUCAUCUGGAAAGAUGAAUCAAAGAAGGUAAUAAUCCUGUAGUCGAAAAUGUUGUCUCUCUUGAGUGGAUCCUGAGUACGACGGAGCACGUGAAAUUCCGUCGGAAUCUGGGAGGACCAUCUCCUAAGGCUAAAUACUCUCUAGUGACCGAUAGUGAACCAGUACCGUGAGGGAAAGGUGAAAAGCACCCCGGAAGGGGAGUGAAAUAGAACCUGAAACCGUGUGCUUACAAGUAGUCAGAGCCCGUUAAUGGGUGAUGGCGUGCCUUUUGUAGAAUGAACCGGCGAGUUACGAUUUGAUGCAAGGUUAAGCAGUAAAUGUGGAGCCGUAGCGAAAGCGAGUCUGAAUAGGGCGUUUAGUAUUUGGUCGUAGACCCGAAACCAGGUGAUCUACCCUUGGUCAGGUUGAAGUUCAGGUAACACUGAAUGGAGGACCGAACCGACUUACGUUGAAAAGUGAGCGGAUGAACUGAGGGUAGCGGAGAAAUUCCAAUCGAACCUGGAGAUAGCUGGUUCUCUCCGAAAUAGCUUUAGGGCUAGCCUCAAGUGAUGAUUAUUGGAGGUAGAGCACUGUUUGGACGAGGGGCCCCUCUCGGGUUACCGAAUUCAGACAAACUCCGAAUGCCAAUUAAUUUAACUUGGGAGUCAGAACAUGGGUGAUAAGGUCCGUGUUCGAAAGGGAAACAGCCCAGACCACCAGCUAAGGUCCCAAAAUAUAUGUUAAGUGGAAAAGGAUGUGGCGUUGCCCAGACAACUAGGAUGUUGGCUUAGAAGCAGCCAUCAUUUAAAGAGUGCGUAAUAGCUCACUAGUCGAGUGACACUGCGCCGAAAAUGUACCGGGGCUAAACAUAUUACCGAAGCUGUGGAUUGUCCUUUGGACAAUGGUAGGAGAGCGUUCUAAGGGCGUUGAAGCAUGAUCGUAAGGACAUGUGGAGCGCUUAGAAGUGAGAAUGCCGGUGUGAGUAGCGAAAGACGGGUGAGAAUCCCGUCCACCGAUUGACUAAGGUUUCCAGAGGAAGGCUCGUCCGCUCUGGGUUAGUCGGGUCCUAAGCUGAGGCCGACAGGCGUAGGCGAUGGAUAACAGGUUGAUAUUCCUGUACCACCUAUAAUCGUUUUAAUCGAUGGGGGGACGCAGUAGGAUAGGCGAAGCGUGCGAUUGGAUUGCACGUCUAAGCAGUAAGGCUGAGUAUUAGGCAAAUCCGGUACUCGUUAAGGCUGAGCUGUGAUGGGGAGAAGACAUUGAGUCUUCGAGUCGUUGAUUUCACACUGCCGAGAAAAGCCUCUAGAUAGAAAAUAGGUGCCCGUACCGCAAACCGACACAGGUAGUCAAGAUGAGAAUUCUAAGGUGAGCGAGCGAACUCUCGUUAAGGAACUCGGCAAAAUGACCCCGUAACUUCGGGAGAAGGGGUGCUCUUUAGGGUUAACGCCCAGAAGAGCCGCAGUGAAUAGGCCCAAGCGACUGUUUAUCAAAAACACAGGUCUCUGCUAAACCGUAAGGUGAUGUAUAGGGGCUGACGCCUGCCCGGUGCUGGAAGGUUAAGAGGAGUGGUUAGCUUCUGCGAAGCUACGAAUCGAAGCCCCAGUAAACGGCGGCCGUAACUAUAACGGUCCUAAGGUAGCGAAAUUCCUUGUCGGGUAAGUUCCGACCCGCACGAAAGGCGUAACGAUUUGGGCACUGUCUCAACGAGAGACUCGGUGAAAUCAUAGUACCUGUGAAGAUGCAGGUUACCCGCGACAGGACGGAAAGACCCCGUGGAGCUUUACUGUAGCCUGAUAUUGAAAUUCGGCACAGCUUGUACAGGAUAGGUAGGAGCCUUUGAAACGUGAGCGCUAGCUUACGUGGAGGCGCUGGUGGGAUACUACCCUAGCUGUGUUGGCUUUCUAACCCGCACCACUUAUCGUGGUGGGAGACAGUGUCAGGCGGGCAGUUUGACUGGGGCGGUCGCCUCCUAAAAGGUAACGGAGGCGCUCAAAGGUUCCCUCAGAAUGGUUGGAAAUCAUUCAUAGAGUGUAAAGGCAUAAGGGAGCUUGACUGCGAGACCUACAAGUCGAGCAGGGUCGAAAGACGGACUUAGUGAUCCGGUGGUUCCGCAUGGAAGGGCCAUCGCUCAACGGAUAAAAGCUACCCCGGGGAUAACAGGCUUAUCUCCCCCAAGAGUUCACAUCGACGGGGAGGUUUGGCACCUCGAUGUCGGCUCAUCGCAUCCUGGGGCUGUAGUCGGUCCCAAGGGUUGGGCUGUUCGCCCAUUAAAGCGGUACGCGAGCUGGGUUCAGAACGUCGUGAGACAGUUCGGUCCCUAUCCGUCGUGGGCGUAGGAAAUUUGAGAGGAGCUGUCCUUAGUACGAGAGGACCGGGAUGGACAUACCUCUGGUGUACCAGUUGUCGUGCCAACGGCAUAGCUGGGUAGCUAUGUGUGGACGGGAUAAGUGCUGAAAGCAUCUAAGCAUGAAGCCCCCCUCAAGAUGAGAUUUCCCAACUUCGGUUAU
RNAcentral lists this ribosomal RNA (2815 nucleotides) under Staphylococcus aureus. RNAcentral's name for it is "bacterial LSU rRNA". It matches the Rfam family "Bacterial large subunit ribosomal RNA". Lineage: Bacteria; Bacillati; Bacillota; Bacilli; Caryophanales; Staphylococcaceae. The record is from RNAcentral.